This is an RNA transcript of Dermacentor andersoni, 1905 nucleotides long. RefSeq lists it as uncharacterized. The record is from RefSeq and is a predicted model, not a curated record. NCBI's taxonomy places the organism in Eukaryota, Metazoa, Arthropoda, Arachnida, Ixodida, Ixodidae.
GUUGUGCCAUUUUGCUUCGUACCUGCAUUUCGUUUUGUCAGUGUUUCCAUACUCUUGACAGAAGCCUUGCACUAGUCCAACAGUCAAAAAGAGUAUGAGCUGUGGUUGUGCUCCUGUGUAGCUUGAUUGCAUGAGGUGAUUUUGGUCUUGCACAUAAUUCACAGUAUUUUAGCUCUAGUGUGCCAGGUCAGGUCACAUUAAUACCUGUGUUGCACUUAGCUCCAAUUAAUGGCAUAAAUGGCUAAGGUACAUUUCUUAUUGCCAUUACUUUUAGAGCGUGACCACAUGUGUAUACGUAACAUUGCAGACCAGCCAACCAACCUCAGAAUUUGAAUAUACUUCAGUCGUAGCUAACAAAUGCUAAAAUUUUGGGAAAUAUAGUAAACACUUCUAUUACUUAAAUAUUCAGUGCUCUUAAAAAAAUUAGGACUUUAUUCUGUGAGAUAGAGUGAUCCAGCAUGUGUGCCCUUCAGUCACUGCUAGAAUUAUCUGCCCCAUAUGCAGCUGACUUCUAUUAAUUCUACCCUGACAGGACCAACGAAAGAAGCCAGUGGAAAGUGCCACACGACUAGUUGCAUUGCACUUUCGUGUUUUGCAGGCUUUCUUUCAGGCUUGGAAAAAAACUUAUAUUAUGUAGCAUAUAUUUGCAGCAGAAAGCUGGAUUGUAGAUUUUUCAGGAUGGUCUACAAUUUUCUCAUUGACACUCUUGCUGUGAAUAUUUCAUGAAGUUGAGUAAUUAAUGAAUUAAGUAAUUAGCCAAUAUACAAAAAAAAUUGUUUGACUUGCUCCAAGCAACAGCAAACAUUACCUUGGUUCUGACCAGCUAUGUGGCACUUCUUUUAAGCUUCGGCACAAGUUGUGUGGGACACAUGGUAUACAUUUUAAAUUAAUUAUGCUUUAAACUGUGAAAUCAAAUAUAGAAUACUUGUAGUGACAAAAACUGUAAAGAAGCUCUAAAUAUCGGGAAUUUCACUACAAAAUUGUAUAAACUGGAAGGUAUAAUAGUGUCACACAUGAGGUCAGUGUAGCAAGCUUGAAAUUGGAAUUUUAAAAAAAAUUGCUUUUAUUGGCUAAAACUGCAAGCAAUGUCACAAAACGGCAUUAGUAAGUACACUUCAAAGAGAGUUUCCUUUCUCCAAAACGUUCUUUAUUGUGCCUGGAAGCAUGCUUGCAAAAUGUGUAGAGCCCCAAGUUGAAGCAGAAUGGUGCCUGUAGUUCUGAAGGUGUCAAAAUGGAGACAGUGCAAAUAAUGACUUUUAGAGCGCUACUUUAAACCGUAACGUUUUUUUUUUUUUAUCAUCGAAGCAUGUCACUGAAAGUAAAGCAUCAGGAGCAAGUUAUGCAGGCAUGCGUUUGAUCACUUAGCCCUUUAAACCUCAAUCCGGUGCUCUAUGCACCAUGGAAGUUGUACCAAUAUUGCCAAUGAAGAGUCACUUGUUGAGCCCAAUUCUGCGCUGCUCCCAUUGCCAAAGACAACUUACUGUUGGCAAUGAGGGAAAGCUGCCCUUUUCUGUAAUUUUUGUGUUAUUCCUAACCAAAAACGAAUUGAGAAAUGUAUGUUAAGGAUCACAAUGAGAGAAAAAGAAUUCCAACUAAAAAAAUUUUCAGGAAACUUGUUUUUUCUGCAAUAACUUAGGGGGUUAAAAGGUCGAGUUAUCAAAAAUCAUUACAUUGUUAAUGGCAUUAAUAUUUAUAACUAAUAAAUCUACUUGUAUAUGCAGGUAGCAUGCAAAUGACAUUUGCAGUUAACAUUGAGGAAUGAAAACCCACCACUUUAAGGUGCCAUGAAAGAGUAGCUGCUGCUUCAAUCUUCAAGAGGUCUGCCAAAUACAGCUAUGCAUUUGCACUGAGAAAAUGUUACUUAGCUCUUUCAGAUUGUUCAAAUAAAGUGGUUUAUCAACAGAA